GCCAUCAGAUUUGCCCUGGGAUUAGCUAGUAGGUGGGAAGUAACGGCUCACCUAGGCGAAACGAUCCCUAGCUGGUCUGAGAGGAUGACCAGCCACACUGGAACUGAGACACAGGUCCAGACUCCUACGGGAGGCAGCAGUGGGGAAUAUUGCACAAUGGGCGCAAGCCUGACAGCCAUGCCAGCGUGUGUGAAGUUAAGGCCUUCGGGUUGUAAAGCACUUUCAGCGGGGAGAGGCGUUAAGGUUAAUAACCUUGAGGGCGAUUGACGUUACCCGCAGAAGAAGCACCGGCUAACUCCGUGCCAGCAGCCGCGGUAAUACGGAGGGCAAGCGUUAGAUCGGGGAAUUACUGGGCGUAAAGCGCACGCAGGCGGUCUGUCAAGUCGGAUGUGAAAUCCGGGCUCCCAACCUGGGAACUGCAUUACGAAACUGGCAGGCUAGAGUCUAGAGGGGGGUAGAAUUCCAGGAGUACCGCGGUGAAAUGCGUAUUGAGAUCUGGAGGAAUACCGGUGGCGAAGGCGGCCCCCUGGACAAAGACUGACGCUACAGGUGCGAAAGCGUGGGGAGCAAACAGGAUUAGAUCCUGGUAGUCCACGCCGUAAACGAUGUCGAUUAUUUGGAGGUUGUGCCCUUGAGGCGUGGCUUCCGGCUAACGCGUUUCGACCGCCUGGGGAGUACGGUCCGCAAGAGUUAAAACCCCUCAAAGUGAAUUGACGGGGGCCCGCACAAGCGGUGGAGCAUGUGGUUUAAUUCGAUGCAACGGCGAAGAACCUUACCUGGUCUUGACAUCCACAGAACUUAGCAGAGAUGCUAUUGGUGCCUUCGGGAACUGUGAGACAGGUGCUGCAUGGCUGUCGUCAGCUCGUGUUGUGAAAUGUUGGGUUAAGUCCGCGCAACGAGCGCAACCCUUAUCCUUUGUUGCCAGCGGUUAGGCCGGGAACUCAAAGGAGACUGCCAGUGAUAAACUGGAGGAAGGUGGGGGAUGACGUCAAGUCAUCAAAUGGCCCUUACGACCAGGGCUCCACACAGCUACAAUGGCAUAUACAAAGAGAAGCGACCUCGCGAGAGCAAGCGGACCUCAUAAAGUAUGUCGUAGUCCGGAUUGGAGUCUGCAACUCGACUCCCAUGAAGUCGGAAUCGCUAGUAAUCGUAGAUCAGAAUGCUACGAAUACUCCCGGGCCUUAAGUACACACCUUCCGCCCGUCACACCAUGGGAGUGGGUUGCAAAAGGUAGGUAGGGCUUAAC
Molecule: ribosomal RNA, 1246 nt
Filed under: Klebsiella pneumoniae
Lineage: Bacteria; Pseudomonadati; Pseudomonadota; Gammaproteobacteria; Enterobacterales; Enterobacteriaceae
Description: bacterial SSU rRNA
Rfam family: Bacterial small subunit ribosomal RNA
Source: RNAcentral